GUUGUUAGUGGAAUAAAUAGUUAAGAAUUCAAAAGGUCAUAACCUUUGGAAUCCGCUGGCCGAUGGAUCAUCUUUUUAGUAGGAUAAAUAGUUUGAGGAAAGAGAGACCGAGAGCCAAAUUGAGAGUCAUAAGCCGAGAGUUAGAUUGUGAGAGUCGUAAGCCAGAGUAAGCUUGGUGCUACCUCUUUGUUUUCUUUGCUUUUAUUAUUUAUUUAUAAAGAAUUGUGAUUGAGAGAAGUAGUGUUGAAUUGAUAGUCGUAGAAUAGAUUAUAUGUUGAAUCAAGAUGGAAGUAGUAAGCCUUGGUAUUUUAUAGUUUGAUAAUUGAUUUCAAAUACCCAGAGUACAGUCAAUUGUGACACUA
Molecule: long non-coding RNA, 362 nt
Filed under: Physcomitrium patens
Lineage: Eukaryota; Viridiplantae; Streptophyta; Bryopsida; Funariales; Funariaceae
Description: long non-coding RNA (PPAT_LNC004006)
Source: RNAcentral